AUACAUAGGUUAACGAGGCGAACCGGGGGAACUGAAACAUCUAAGUACCCCGAGGAAAAGAAAUCAACCGAGAUUCCCCCAGUAGCGGCGAGCGAACGGGGAGCAGCCCGGAGUCUGAAUCAGCUUGUGUGUUAGUGGAACGGUCUGGAAAGUCCGACGGUACAGGGUGAUAGUCCCGUACACGAAAGCACACUUGCUGUGAACUCGAAGAGUAGGGCGGGACACGUGGUAUCCUGUCUGAAUAUGGGGGGACCAUCCUCCAAGGCUAAAUACUCCUGACUGACCGAUAGUGAACCAGUACCGUGAGGGAAAGGCGAAAAGAACCCCGGCGAGGGGAGUGAAAAAGAACCUGAAACCGUGUACGUACAAGCAGUGGGAGCCUCUUUAUGGGGUGACUGCGUACCUUUUGUAUAAUGGGUCAGCGACUUAUAUUCUGUAGCAAGGUUAACCGUAUAGGGGAGCCGAAGGGAAACCGAGUCUUAACUGGGCGUUAAGUUGCAGGGUAUAGACCCGAAACCCGGUGAUCUAGCCAUGGGCAGGUUGAAGGUUGGGUAACACUAACUGGAGGACCGAACCGACUAAUGUUGAAAAAUUAGCGGAUGACCUGUGGCUGGGGGUGAAAGGCCAAUCAAACCGGGAGAUAGCUGGUUCUCCCCGAAAGCUAUUUAGGUAGCGCCUCGUGAACUCAUCUUCGGGGGUAGAGCACUGUUUCGGCUAGGGGGCCAUCCCGGCUUACCAACCCGAUGCAAACUACGAAUACCGAAGAAUGUUAUCACGGGAGACACACGGCGGGUGCUAACGUCCGUCGUGAAGAGGGAAACAACCCAGACCGCCAGCUAAGGUCCCAAAGUCAUGGUUAAGUGGGAAACGAUGUGGGAAGGCACAGACAGCCAGGAUGUUGGCUUAGAAGCAGCCAUCAUUUAAAGAAAGCGUAAUAGCUCACUGGUCGAGUCGGCCUGCGCGGAAGAUGUAACGGGGCUAAACCAUGCACCG
Molecule: ribosomal RNA, 993 nt
Filed under: Enterobacter hormaechei
Lineage: Bacteria; Pseudomonadati; Pseudomonadota; Gammaproteobacteria; Enterobacterales; Enterobacteriaceae
Description: partial 23S ribosomal RNA
Rfam family: Bacterial large subunit ribosomal RNA
Source: RNAcentral